Molecule: long non-coding RNA, 344 nt
Filed under: Betta splendens (Siamese fighting fish)
Lineage: Eukaryota; Metazoa; Chordata; Actinopteri; Anabantiformes; Osphronemidae
Description: lncRNA (ENSBSLG00000018030.1)
Source: RNAcentral
AGGAAUGAGCCCGCGUACCGAAAUACAGUAGUGUUUUAGUUUUGACACUCAAACUGGUUGUGCCGCAGUUAGCGACGGGCAACCGGACACGUGUUGUUUUUGCUAGUAGCAUGCUAGUUGUCGGUUCACUGUAGGUGGCUCACAUUACUUCAAGUACAUAUCAAUAUUACGGCCCAGGUUACUGUUUGUGGUAAAUACAGAAAGCUGGAUUCUAGGCGCUGCAGUCCGGUACCUGUAACAUGAGCGUCUCCCGUCGUUGACCCUGUGAUGAACUGGCAGCUUGUCCUGGGAGCCGUCAGUGUGGCAUUCAAAAGGUUUUUUUAAAAACAUGUCUUGUAAAUCCA